UUUUAACUUUACUCUCAGUAGCAGAAAAUGAGUUCAGUGAAGACUUGUUUAAUUUUUCAGCUUCGGAGUUUCCUGACAUGGUAUUCGGGAGUGGACUCAGCGCUCAGAACAGAUGUCCCAGUGAUUGGCAGUUUUAAUGCUUCUCCAGUUUCACUCAGUCAAGUGAGGAUAGACACCAGCCUAUUAGUGAGACUGGACAAAACCGUGACUGGUGGAGUACCACAGUAAAUGUAAUUUGAAGAAAGCAAGAAAGAACCAAUGGCUUUAGCUGGCUGCCCGGAUUCCUUUUUGCAUCAUCCAUAUUACCAGGACAAGGUAGAUCAGACUUCUACUCACGGUCAGAGCAAGCUAGUGGAACCUGGAUUCCAAGAACAACCUACCCGAGUCGCCUUAAAUCACCAAGAUUGUCAUAAUGCAGAACAAGACUAUAAACCUAAAUGGGAUCAUGGCUACCUUUAUUAAGAGCAGGAAGGACAGAACUAAAAGUUUGAGAGGUCAGUCACUAAAGUAGAAAAAGAAAGUUAUUUACCAAGCAGAAUAAAAUAUAUU
Molecule: long non-coding RNA, 549 nt
Filed under: Vombatus ursinus (common wombat)
Lineage: Eukaryota; Metazoa; Chordata; Mammalia; Diprotodontia; Vombatidae
Description: lncRNA (ENSVURG00010013909.1)
Source: RNAcentral